UAGCUCAAUGGUAGAGUGUUUGCCUAGCAUGCAUAAGGCCCUGGGUUCAAUCCCCAG
RNAcentral lists this transfer RNA (57 nucleotides) under Neotoma lepida (desert woodrat). It matches the Rfam family "tRNA", at positions 8 to 63 of the family's 71-position model. Rfam says of the family: Transfer RNA (tRNA) molecules are approximately 80 nucleotides in length. The record is from Rfam by way of RNAcentral. Lineage: Eukaryota; Metazoa; Chordata; Mammalia; Rodentia; Cricetidae.